UACGUAGGGUGCGAGCGUUAAUCGGAAUUACUGGGCGUAAAGUGUGCGCAGGUGGCCGCGCAAGUCGAGUGUGAAAUCCCCGGGCUUAACCUGGGAACUGCGCUUGUAACUGAGAGGCUAGAGUGUGGCAGAGGGGGGUGGAAUUCCACGUGUAGCAGUGAAAUGCGUAGAGAUGUGGAGGAACACCGAUGGCGAAGGCAGCCCCCUGGGCUAACACUGACGCUCAUGCACGAAAGCGUGGGGAGCAAACAGG
RNAcentral lists this ribosomal RNA (253 nucleotides) under uncultured bacterium. RNAcentral describes it as "partial 16S ribosomal RNA". It matches the Rfam family "Bacterial small subunit ribosomal RNA", at positions 524 to 776 of the family's 1533-position model. The record is from RNAcentral.